RNAcentral lists this ribosomal RNA (253 nucleotides) under uncultured bacterium. RNAcentral describes it as "partial 16S ribosomal RNA". It matches the Rfam family "Bacterial small subunit ribosomal RNA", at positions 524 to 776 of the family's 1533-position model. The record is from RNAcentral.
GACGUAGGGCGCGAGCGUUGUCCGGAUUUAUUGGGCGUAAAGAGCUCGUAGGCGGCUUGUCGCGUCGACUGUGAAAACCCGCGGCUCAACUGCGGGCCUGCAGCCGAUACGGGCAGGCUAGAGUUCGGUAGGGGAGACUGGAAUUCCUGGUGUAGCGGUGAAAUGCGCAGAUAUCAGGAAGAACACCGGUGGCGAAGGCGGCUCUCUGGGCCUUACCUGACGCUGAGGAGCGAAAGCGUGGGUAGCGAACAGG